This is a microRNA precursor of Myotis lucifugus (little brown bat), 92 nucleotides long. The record is from Ensembl. Lineage: Eukaryota; Metazoa; Chordata; Mammalia; Chiroptera; Vespertilionidae.
CAGGUGGAGCAGCUGCAGGUGCAGAUCUUGGUGGUAGUAGCAAAAAUUCAAAGGAGAACUUUGAAGGCUGAAGUGGAAAAGGGUUCCAUGUG